This 1336-nucleotide long non-coding RNA is filed under the name Takifugu rubripes (torafugu). RNAcentral's name for it is "lncRNA (ENSTRUG00000032189.1)". Lineage: Eukaryota; Metazoa; Chordata; Actinopteri; Tetraodontiformes; Tetraodontidae. The record is from RNAcentral.
AUGUUUUUUGCCCCGAAUGUCACAGCUCCUUUCCCCCAGUUCCCUCCUGUCCCUCUGCCUCAGUACUUUUCCACUCCACCUGCCUCUGCUCCACUCUACCUGCCAGCCACUCCCACCCCGUCAGCUCAACUCCACUCACCUGCAAGCACAGCUGCAGCUUAUUCCCAAUCAGCCCUGCUUAUUAGCCUCCCCUGCACCCUCACUCAUCGCCAGAUUGUUCUUCAGCAUUUCCAUGCAAGCCUCUCCAGCACUUCCUACCUUCCUACCUUCCUACCUUCCUACCUUCCUACCUUCCUACCUUCCUACCUUCCUACCUGCCUGACCUGUUUACCUCUGACCUGCCUGCACCGCCUGCCUCCCGGUAAACUCACCAGCCUUCCGUCCCUGACGACGACUUCUGCCUCAGCGUUUCUGGUUCCUGUCUGCUCACCUGGUCCUGACUUCUCCGCCUGGCCCGACUUCGCUGCUGCUCAUCCCCAUUCUGCUCUGCUGCAUCAUCGGCCUCAUCUCCUGUCCUUACCAAUGGUCCCAGCUCUCCAGAGUGCUGCUUUUGGUUCCUAAUUACACCCAUCACACUGACUGUGUCCUGUUGAGUGGGUAACCCAUGAACGGAGCCAGGUGAAGGUGUAACCAGGUCUUUAUGCUCUGCGUGGACCUGGGAGGCCCAUCUUCCGAUGGUGUCCUGUCCUUGAUCUACAGGUGUGUUCACCUUUUACUCACAGCCACACACCAGCUCUUUAUCUACCCAAAAAAACCCAAACAGAAAGACAAAGUUCAGAUAUCCAAGGUAGUUUUCUGUGUCUAGUAGUUCCUCUCCUUUCCUCUCCUCAUCAAGCAGACUAGUUAUGCUGAUUCUUGUGUAGUUUUUCUGCUUCUCUUCCCCCCCCCCCCCCCCCCCCCCCCAUUUAUUUACAGGUAUCGCCGCCCUCGGAGCUGUAUAAUGACCUCCGGCCCCGCUGAAGUGAUUGUGCAUCAUAUUUUUUGUGUGUGUUUCUGUGCUCUGUGCCUCUCCUCCUUUUCCUCUCCUCUUUCCCCUCCUUCUCCUCUCCUCUACCUCCCCUUCACUCUACUUCUCCUCUCCUCUACCCCUCUCCUCUCCUACCUAUCCUAUCCUCUACCUGUCCUCCCCCUUCUCCUCUCUCUUUACCCAGCCGGCCAUCAGCAGGAGGGUCCCCCUACAUGAGCCUGGUCCUGCUCAAGGUUUCUUCCUGUUAAAGGGGAGUUUUUCCUUGCCACUGUUGCUUGUCUGGGGUCAGGCCCUGGGAUUCUGGAAAGCGCCUUGAAACAAUUUUGAUUGUAUAAGACGCUAUAUAAAUAAAGAUUGAUUGAUUGUGUC